Long non-coding RNA from Rhagoletis zephyria (snowberry fruit fly), 129 nucleotides. RefSeq lists it as uncharacterized. The record is from RefSeq and is a predicted model, not a curated record. NCBI's taxonomy places the organism in Eukaryota, Metazoa, Arthropoda, Insecta, Diptera, Tephritidae.
UUAUAUGGGAGAAAAGCAAUAACGCCGCACAGUCUUUCAACUAUAUGGAGGCCGGUGGAAAUAGUAGUACACCACCACCGAUUUCACUGAAACUCAACGUAUGCUCUAGUUUUACUUAGAAAUAGAGAA